Molecule: long non-coding RNA, 206 nt
Filed under: Sus scrofa (pig)
Lineage: Eukaryota; Metazoa; Chordata; Mammalia; Artiodactyla; Suidae
Description: lncRNA (ENSSSCG00050047899.1)
Source: RNAcentral
AGCCACCGCGGCGACUGGGCGGCGGGUGCCAUGCGCCUGGAGCUUCAUAUUCUCAGCUCCCGCCCACCACGCCUGCCCGCGCGCCCUCGCGGUCACGCCCCAGACCGCCGGCACCUGUCAAGCAGGUAUCUUAGUCCUCCUCAUCAUUCAUUAUGUGUAUGGCCAGCAGCGUUGGAGCACCCAGGAGAAAGUGAUAUUCUUCAAAG